GACGAACGCUGGCGGCGUGCCUAAUACAUGCAAGUAGAACGCUGAAGAGAGGAGCUUGCUCUUCUUGGAUGAGUUGCGAACGGGUGAGUAACGCGUAGGUAACCUGCCUGGUAGCGGGGGAUAACUAUUGGAAACGAUAGCUAAUACCGCAUGACAUUGAUUAUCGCAUGAUAAUUGAUUGAAAGAUGCAAUUGCAUCACUACCAGAUGGACCUGCGUUGUAUUAGCUAGUUGGUGAGGUAACGGCUCACCAAGGCGACGAUACAUAGCCGACCUGAGAGGGUGAUCGGCCACACUGGGACUGAGACACGGCCCAGACUCUUACGGGAGGCAGCAGUAGGGAAUCUUCGGCAAUGGGGGGAACCCUGACCGAGCAACGCCGCGUGAGUGAAGAAGGUUUUCGGAUCGUAAAGCUCUGUUGUAAGAGAAGAACGGGUGUGAGAGUGGAAAGUUCACACUGUG
Molecule: ribosomal RNA, 461 nt
Filed under: Streptococcus sanguinis
Lineage: Bacteria; Bacillati; Bacillota; Bacilli; Lactobacillales; Streptococcaceae
Description: bacterial SSU rRNA
Rfam family: Bacterial small subunit ribosomal RNA
Source: RNAcentral